CUGAACCCAGAACCCUUCAGUCCAUAGGCUAAUGCUCUAUCCACUGAGCCAAACCGGCUAGGGCGAGAUAUUAUUUAUGUAGCCUCAGAUGGCUGAAUGGGGUGGGAGAGAUGAGGAAGUUGGGCUCUGGCAGGCUCUGACCCCAGAAGGGUUAGAGUUACGUUGGGAGAAGUGAUGGGGAUCCAACACAGCUUCUGCCUGCCAUAGUAAUCAGGAAGGCAGACACUCGUCACUCCUCAUGUGAGAGAGACACAGCAGUGACUGAGACAGCCUCCACCCUGCCCUCCGAGAGCACCCAUCCAGUGGGGGAGACACCCCCUCACCAGCCGGGGGUCAGGGAGGGCCAGGAUAGCGGGCGUUAUAGGGUGCUGUGGGAGCCCAGAGGAAGUACUUGAUCUAGUCUAAGGUAUCAGGAAGGACUUCCUGGAGUGGAGAACACAUGAGGUGAGAUUUGAAGAGUCAGAUGAAGGGAGUUAGGGUCUCUACAGGUGAUGACUUGUAGCCAAGUCAGUAAAUACUUAAAUAAUUUUUUUAUAUUGAAUAAUUUUAGAUUUACAGAAAAGUUGCAAAGAAAAUACAAAAGAUUUCCCAUAUACCCUGCACCCAACUUCCUCUAAAGUUAACAUCUUACAUAUUUAUGGUACAUUUUUGAAAAGUAGGAAGUUAAUGUUGAUUAGUAUUCUAACUUUAUCCAUAUCCUACCCGUUUUCCACUAAUGUUCUUUUUCUGUUCCAGGAGCCAAUCCAGGAACCAUGUUGCAUUUAUUCACCAUGUCUCCUUGGUCUCCUCCAGUCUGUGACAGUUUCUCAGUCUUUCCUUGGUUUUCAUAACUUUGACAGUUUUGAGAAAAGCCAAAGUCUGCUCGCCGGUACUGCACAAACUUUAGUCCGGAACAAACUUUAGCUGAGAAUACUGAAAGACACAUUUGAAAAGACCGUGUACCCAAGUGGGAAUACCCUGGCAGAGCUUGUUUCAGCCACUCAACUUGAUGAGCUAGUAUUACAGAGUUGGUUCAAGAACCAGCGUGUCAAAAGGAGGAAACAGCUGCUACAGUGUCAGCCUAGUGUGGCACUAGAAGCACAAAACCAAACCAUUUCAGUGAAGGAGGAGGAGACUCCUUUAUCUGUACCUUCUACAAACACUCAUCCCCUGAGUCCCAGCAUUGUGAAUGCUUAUGACCAUGAACUCCCUAAGACUUCUAAUAUCAAGCAAUCUGGAGGGACUAGUGCCUCUGUGUGGAAUGUAUCAUGGGAUUCUCAGCCUCAUGACCUUCAACAGCUAUGUCUGAGUGUCUCUGAUCCUUCUUGGGCCUCCAAUCCCUCUGACAUAGAUCAGUUUAUACAACUACUAGUGGCCCGGUGCACAAAAUUCAUGCACGGGGU
Molecule: long non-coding RNA, 1382 nt
Organism: Myotis brandtii (Brandt's bat)
Lineage: Eukaryota; Metazoa; Chordata; Mammalia; Chiroptera; Vespertilionidae
Exons: 3
Source: RefSeq, a predicted model, not a curated record